GUACAACAGAGCAACAUAGGAAGACUGAGGUAGAGGUGAAAUGAAUGGAGAAGGAGCUGAUGGCCUGUCUCAGCUUAUCCACUGUCUCGCUGAACAAACAGGUGCUGGGAAACCCUGCUUCUCUGCCAUCAAGGAGGUUGUUCUCUGAAAACCAGGUGAUGUUUGAAAGCUCAGCUCUCCUAACAGGAAAUGCAUUUUUUAAAUCAUUAGCAAAAUGGUCAUUCAGGCCUCUGUAGGAUUUGAUAACCAAUUAAGACUAUGUCCUGUGCCCAGAAUCAAGCAGUAGACUUCAGCCUCAACAAGACUCAGUCACUUUAAAACCCAUCUCCCUCCAUCCAGACAAUCAUCUUUCUUUGAUUUACAGUGUCUGGCCUUCAGGUGUUUAGAGGUGCUCUUCAUUUAGCCAGACAACAGUCACCCCCAGAAAGCUAUUUCCAAGGCUACAUCACCCUCCUGCCAUUACCCACCUCCACAGCCAGCCAGCUCCCUGAUGCUUCCUGCUGUGAAUCCAUAACACACCCUGGGUCGUAUUUGUGUCACUGAAAGCAAACCUUAUAAUUCUACCCCCAAAAUGGAAAGAGAAAAAUGCCCAGCAGGAUCAAGGAGAGAGUCUCCUUACACAAAUC
RNAcentral lists this long non-coding RNA (626 nucleotides) under Fukomys damarensis (Damara mole-rat). RNAcentral's name for it is "lncRNA (ENSFDAG00000024916.1)". The record is from RNAcentral. Lineage: Eukaryota; Metazoa; Chordata; Mammalia; Rodentia; Bathyergidae.